UUUUUCUCAGCCCUGAGAACAAUUCUCAGGUUACGGAUCCAAUCCGAGUAAUUUGUUCCAUUCAACUUGUCCUUCUCAAGGACUGAACGCAAAGCAAACGGUGUAGUGCUGCUAGGUGCCAUUUAAUCUACAACAAAGUAAUGCAAAAUACACUAAGACAAACGUAUCCAUGAUAGAGCAAAUCACAUUAAACUAUUUUAACAAAAUCUACUCCCACUAAAAUCAAUAUCCCUCUAUGAUGAGGACACCACAAGUACAUCUACACCAGCAGCACCUCAGGCGCCUCCAGUUGCUCCUCCACCUCAGGCGCCUACAGUUGAUCUUCCAGUUGGGCCAAUCACUCGGGCCCGUGCGAGAGAAUUAAACUUCAUCAUGG
Molecule: long non-coding RNA, 376 nt
Filed under: Setaria viridis
Lineage: Eukaryota; Viridiplantae; Streptophyta; Magnoliopsida; Poales; Poaceae
Description: long non-coding RNA (SVIR_LNC006984)
Source: RNAcentral